CUCUGCUAACUGGUACUUCGAUAUUGAAAUAUUCAAUUAUUAAAGUCAUAAUAAUUCGUCAUGAUUCGUCUAACAGUUUUCUGCAUUCUCAUCACCUACGUUAUCUCGGUCAAUUGUCAGCCUUUACCUGAGUCACAACAAUCGGAGGUUGAAAAAAUUAAAUUCAAGGAGGUUAUAUUGCAGUCAUUACAAAACUGUGAAUUAGAAAAAAUUGAUGUAAAUGCUAGAAAAACACAAGAUCGCCGUACGUUAUGAGAAGUAAUGUAUUUAGUCUAUUUCGACAAUGGCGAUGCACAGUCGACUAGGAGAAAUCUUGAAGCAAUAAGUGAAUCUAGAAAGAAAAAAUGUUCAAAUUCAGUCUAAGGCUGUGGACAUGAUUCAAAUUAGCCGUAUACAAG
Microplitis mediator is the source of this 398-nucleotide long non-coding RNA. RefSeq lists it as uncharacterized. NCBI's taxonomy places the organism in Eukaryota, Metazoa, Arthropoda, Insecta, Hymenoptera, Braconidae. The record is from RefSeq and is a predicted model, not a curated record. The transcript has 3 exons.